This is a non-coding RNA of Cinara cedri, 290 nucleotides long. The record is from the annotation of a GenBank genome assembly. Lineage: Eukaryota; Metazoa; Arthropoda; Insecta; Hemiptera; Aphididae.
GUUGCGUAUUUAUGUAGAUAUAUAGUUAAACAAAUUUGCCGCGGUAUUCGCGCACGACGGCCAAAUACGACGCCUGGAACGCGUUCCAAAACCGUUUUCGUGUAUACGAUAUGUAAUAAUGACGUAAAAGGGAACAUAUAAUAGCAAACGUUUUUUAUAUAUAUACGUGCAUUAUACAAACGCGCUAUACGUACGAGAGACGACACAUUAUUUUGUAAAUUUAACAUUGAUUUGUUAUUGUCGAUGAAAUAUAUCGCAGAAAACAAUAUUGUCGUGAUUUGCCGAGGGAG